AGCAGCCGCGGUAAUUCCAGCUCCAAUAGCGUAUAUUAAAGUUGUUGCAGUUAAAAAGCUCGUAGUUGAAUUUCGGGGUUAGUAGGUUGGUCAUGCCUCUGGUAUGUACUGGUCUCACUAAUUCUUCCUUCCUGAUGAACCUUAAUGCCAUUUAUUUGGUGUUUUGGGGAAUUUGGACUGUUACUUUGAAAAAAUUAGAGUGUUUAAAGCAAGCUAACGCUUGAAUACAUUAGCAUGGAAUAAUGAAAUAGGACGUUCGAUCCUAUUUUGUUGGUUUCUAGGAUUGACGUAAUGAUUAAUAGGGAUAGUUGGGGGCAUUAGUAUUCAAUUGUCAGAGGUGAAAUUCUUGGAUUUAUUGAAGACUAACUACUGCGAAAGCAUUUGCCAAGGAUGUUUUCAUUAAUCAAGAACGAAAGUUAGGGGAUCGAAGACGAUCAGAUACCGUCGUAGUCUUAACCAUAAACUAUGCCGACUAGGGAUCGGAUGAUGUUAAUUUUUUAAUGACUCAUUCGGCGCCUUA
RNAcentral lists this ribosomal RNA (520 nucleotides) under uncultured Glomus. RNAcentral describes it as "SSU rRNA". It matches the Rfam family "Eukaryotic small subunit ribosomal RNA", at positions 569 to 1090 of the family's 1831-position model. Lineage: Eukaryota; Fungi; Glomeromycota; Glomeromycetes; Glomerales; Glomeraceae. The record is from RNAcentral.